CUGCGCCGCCCGAGGGGGGCGGAGCCUGGCCGGAUUGGCCCGCCCUCUUAAGGGGCCAUGUCCCACUUACUUCUCCUUCUUCCUUCAGAACCGCUACUGCUGCCCCUUCUUCAUCCACCAGAAACCCUGUUUGCGCCUUCCUGUGGAGCCAAAGGGAGAAGAGGUGAAGCAGAAGUGUAAGAGGACAGUAAUAGAAAACAUCAGAAUAUAAUUUUCUGAACUUUUCAUUGAAGUAUAACAUGCAUCCAGAGAAGUGCAAAGACUUGGGCAUUUUACAAAGUGAAUAUACCCAGCACUGAGAUCAAGAAACACCAUAAUCAGGAUCCGGAAGUCCCCCCAAAUAUCAGAGGCAAAGACUUCUGAAGGCCAGUGCUCCAACCUGAGAAAGCUGUGGAGGCUGUGGUUCAGGCCCGGGGAAUGAGCGUGGACGAAGUAGAAUAGUAUGCUGACUAGACCAGUGCUUCUCAAACUGCAGUGUGCCACUGAAUGACCCAGGCGUCUGGUUGAAAGGCAGGUUCUGAUUCAGCAAGCUGGGAAGGGGAUGCUGCGGUUCUACAUUUCUGUCAAUCUCCUACACUUGGUUAGCAAGGCCUUGAACCCAGAGAUUCUCAAUAAUGCUGUACAUAAGAAUCACAUGGGAAGCUUUUAAAAACACUGCUCCCCAGGUCCCACCCCAGAACAAUUCAGUUGGAAUCUCUGGAGUGGGGCUCAGCAUCCAUAGGUUUUAAAAACUCCCCUGGUGAUUCCAGUGUGCAACCAGAGACAGUGGGUGCUGGUUCCCUGGAGUACCCCCAGUGCCUGAGCUGAGGUGGGAGGGAAGUGAGGAGUGGGGUCAGGUCUGGUGUCUGAGCAAAUGAUCCAGUAUCACAAAGGGCAAGAGAUUUCUUAGUCAGGAAUGGACCAUUUGCCCCUUAGUGGAGGUGAAGGGAGGGAUUUCUGAAGGAAUUCUUUGGCGUGGGGCUAUCUGCUAACCCAGGUCACGUCCUCCCAGGACCAAGAACAGACCCGUGCCUUGACCUUUUCAAGCAAGUCAGAGCUCCCCAGAGCUGCUCUGGGGGCUGGGCUCACAUGCCCCCAAGCAGUUCAGACAUUUUCAGAACCUUACUAGGACAGUGGGAGGAGGUGCUGCCAGCUGCUCCCACACCCUGCCCCCUCUGCCCUGCUAGAGAAAGAGCCAGAUGAGUCCAGAGAUUACAAGCCCUGGAUCAACAUGGACUAUUCAGGAUGAAGCGCCAUAGUCCUGGGUUCUGACGCCCUCUGGUGGACACUUAGAGUUGAAGUUGGUAACCAACAGACUACAGUGUCCAGGUCACUUCUUCAAGCUUUACUCCCAUCCACAGUCUGCUUGCCUGUGUUUACUUUUUAAGUCCUCAGGCUGUGCACGUGGCUACUAAUUCUGACAGAGGAAAGCUUGGACAUAGGAUGUACACCAGCAAGAGUGAAUCGUAAUGUCAACUAUGGACGAUGAUGUGUCAAGUUAGAUUCAUUGAUUGUGACAAAGGUACUUCUUGGGGGUGGGGCUCUCAGGAUGUCGAUAGUGGGGGAAACUGGGGUGGGAGCAGUGUGCAGGCAGGGAGUAUAUGGGACCUCUCUGUACUUUCUGCUCAGUUUUCCUGAGAACCUAAAACUGAUCUAAAAAGUGUAUUAAAAAUGACAACAGUGUUCAAGCAUUUUAUUAAAUCAGGUAAGGAAUCUCCACAUUGUUGCACAUACCAGAUUGUAUACAAUUAUAAGGGCAUAUCACUUGUUUACAAAGACACAGCUGAGCAGUAAGUUGACAAGUCUAAUAAACCAUGUUUAGCCAACUAAAAUUUCAAGAACAUUCAAAAGGAAACACAAUAAAGGUCAUGCAAGUUCUAGAAUAGUGAAUCAUGACAAAGCUCACUCAUUUUAUGCUUUACCUUCAAAAUGCACAUGACAUCUAAAACCAGAAAAAAUCUGAAGACCAGUUGGUUGUCACUAGUCAGAUACACAUUUCAUUCAGGAAUAUUAAGCCCCUUACCACUUACUGACUUUUUUGAUUGUAAAUAACUUAGUCCUAACUACAGAAAAGUUUUGAAGAGAUGUACUAUUGUAAAAUGUAUGCCCAUUGUUCAUAAUAUGCCUUGAAGUCACUGAACUUUCAUUAAAAUACGAUAAAGCAUGAUACUCAAACCAGGAAUCCCAGCUAUGACCUUUUCACUUACCACUAAAUAUCAGUUCAAGAUAAAACACUGUAAAGACUAAAAUAGACUGUGAAUGGUCAAAUCAGUGAGACUGUAUUAAUCUACAUCUAUUUUAACUUACAUAAAUGACAUUCAGUUUAAGAAUCUGAAGAGACCCUAUGGACUUUUUCUUAGGUGACAGUAUUGAACUGCCUUAGAACAAACAGCUGAUUAUCAAUCAGGUUUAUAAUGAUGGCUGAGUAGAAAAUAAAGUCCUAACUGAUGUAGCUUCAAACUUAAUUUGUUCACAUCUAUGUUUAACUUAUAACCACCAAAUCCUAAUGGUUGGGGAGACAUGAUCAAAUACCUUUCUGCAAGCUUCAUCUCCCCACACCCUCUGCUCGUCCCUCCCCCCGAAACACCUAUAUAAGUUUCCCCUGCUUUAAGCUAAAAGGUCAAUUCUGGAUUCAAACUUGUAUGAACUAAGUUUAUAGGAGAUAACAUGCAAAUAAGGGGAUAAAGUUAAAUUCAUUUGACAACAGCAAACAUUAUAAAUGUAUGCUACUAUCCCGCUAAACAGAAGACCUGGGGAAACCACAAAUAUAACAAAACACAAUGUUAGGUUUAAAAACAAAGACCCUUGAAGGAAGUAAUUUUAUUUUACAGUGGCUGAAGUUAUCCACCAAAUGCUUAAUGACCUCCAUGUUUCUGCAACUAAAACUAAAAGAGAAUUAUAGGGAGUUGGGAAUACAUGUUAGAUACUAACGAUCUUCAAGCUUUGAAGACGUCAUUGCAUGAAGAAAAUUAUGGGAAACACUGUUCCCGAUAAUUACGUACACCCUUAGUGUAACAUAUGGAGAUCACUGUCUCCGAUAUAGACACUGUGGUAGGCAAAAACUACCUUGUUCUUUAAACAUUAUGGAAGACACUGCUCCCGAUAAUGUGAGUUAGGUUUGUGACAAAGGUACUGGAAAUUUUGCAAAAUUCGAAUUAAAGUUACACCUUGGAUAAAUUGAGCUGUAAAAUUUUGCAUGUAUGAGUACGAUCACAGCUUUUAAGUGACAUUAAUUUAUAACUUGGUCACAAUUCACUGCAUUUAGGGGAACCGCUCUUUUUAUCUGGUUAGCUAAAUAGAAAUUUAACUUGAUUAGCAACCAAUAAUUAAAUUUAAUUCUUCUCCAAGACUUAGCUUUAUAAUUUUAUUUGGCUUGCGGUUGUUUUCUAACACGUGUAAGUGUCGACCACAAAUGCAAAACUUCCAGUAUCUGUUGGGUUCUAUUAGCAGAUGCUGCUAUUAUUUUAAAAAAAAAACGACAGUAUAACUGUCAUAAUUAUGGAAGGCACUGCUUCCGAUAAUUAUCUUCUAUAAAAAAAACACCAUUUAUAGUGAACUCUGUCACUGAUAAAUAAACAAUAAAUAUCUCAGUGCCAAAAUGACAGGAAGCUUUUCCAAAAAAUUAACACUUUGGCCAAAAUUUGGCAGUGUGUUCUUUAAAGUCUGACGAACUGAGUUUGAAAUUAAACACCUAAAACUUGGUUCUCUUUCAAAAUACCUUGGAAAAAACUAAAACAAAAAACUAACAAAGGUUUAUGGGACAAGGGACAGAGGAAGAGAAAAUAUACUAGGUCUUUGGCUUCUGGUCUCCUCUUUUCAAACAAACAUAAUCUUGAGGUUAACACAUUAAGGCCUUACUCCUGUGAUAAACAGUUGAGCCUCCUUUUAUGCAGCUGAAGGACCUCUAUUUCAGACCUCACUGGCAAGAAAACAAGUCCCAUCUCUUCUGAAAGUGAACUGUUUCACUUUCAGAUGUGGAAACGAGCUAAAUCCUUAAAGAAGACAGAGAUCUCAUGUGGAGAGUAAAGCCUUACAGCCUGGGAUCUCCUAUCUAGCAUCCAGUGAAGGUGGAGGAUCCCUCUAAGCUACCACUUUCCACCUUCCUCCUCCAUUCAAAAGAUACCAGUUCAUGUACUUAGGAUUUAGAACAAUAGUUCACAUAACUGGUUCUGACUUUUUCAUAACUGUAACAGGAAAGAGGCAGUUACCAUUACAAAGCACUUAAAAC
Long non-coding RNA from Physeter macrocephalus (sperm whale), 4207 nucleotides. RefSeq lists it as uncharacterized. Lineage: Eukaryota; Metazoa; Chordata; Mammalia; Artiodactyla; Physeteridae. The record is from RefSeq and is a predicted model, not a curated record. The transcript has 6 exons.